ACUACAUAAACUAUUCACACUUUGCGCAUGGGUAUUGGAUGGAUCCCCUUAAAAAGGAAAACAAGCGUUUGCUUACAUACUUAAGUCAUGAUGACCAGUUGACUGGAUUCUUGUCUUAUUAAACGCCUAACGUAUUGGAAACGUUGUAACGUCCUUUCACAAAUGCUGAAAGCCACCGGUGGGCGCCAUUACUCUAAAAGUGAAGGAGAGCAGUUCCUUUCUCUCAAGCCAGCAAACUCUUCGGAGCCUCAUGCAAACAACUCUGACUGCAGUCUGGAGCGUAACUUUCUACUCAAGAAAAAAUAGGGUCACCUACAUCUUGGACGAGG
Non-coding RNA from Danio rerio (zebrafish), 329 nucleotides. The record is from RefSeq and is a predicted model, not a curated record. NCBI's taxonomy places the organism in Eukaryota, Metazoa, Chordata, Actinopteri, Cypriniformes, Danionidae.